AUGCAACACCGUUCUGUUACAAAUACAGGUAUUGUAAUUGUUUUUAUUCUUGGAGUGAACCAGCCUUUAACCUUUUAACACCACUUACCAGUGGCCUGUAGCACGAAGCCGGUUCCAGUUCUUACCCAGAGCUGUUUGAUGGCCUCUUGGAGACAGGGAUUAUCUUUGUCAGAAAUUUUUGAUGACCCCCUAUCCUAAUCCCGAGACAAGGUCCGAAGAGCAGUUCAAUGCAGCUCACAGCAGAACCAGGGGCAGAACUGAAAACACUUUUGGGAUCCUGAAGGCAAGAUUCAAUUGUCUUCAUGGCCUGAGAGUAACACCAACAACAAGCAUCCCAGAUAGUGGCUGCUUGUGCAAUCCUGCACAAUGUAGCCAAUAUCAGAAAAGAGAGAGUGCCAACAAACCCCCAUCUCCCCCCUGAUGAAACGGACCCCAUGAGAUUGGACCAUCCAGAUGGAAAAGCCAUCAGAGAUGCAAUUAAAGCACAGUAUGUCAGUUAAUUUGUAUUAAAAGCACAGUACACAUA
Molecule: long non-coding RNA, 526 nt
Organism: Cyprinus carpio (common carp)
Lineage: Eukaryota; Metazoa; Chordata; Actinopteri; Cypriniformes; Cyprinidae
Exons: 2
Source: RefSeq, a predicted model, not a curated record